Molecule: ribosomal RNA, 425 nt
Filed under: uncultured bacterium
Lineage: Bacteria
Description: partial 16S ribosomal RNA
Rfam family: Bacterial small subunit ribosomal RNA
Source: RNAcentral
GUGGGGAAUCUUGCGCAAUGGGCGAAAGCCUGACGCAGCCAUGCCGCGUGAAUGAUGAAGGUCUUAGGAUUGUAAAAUUCUUUCACCGGGGACGAUAAUGAUGGUACCCGGAGAAGAAGCUCCGGCUAACUUCGUGCCAGCAGCCGCGGUAAUACGAAGGGGGCUAGCGUUGCUCGGAAUUACUGGGCGUAAAGGGCGCGUAGGCGGACAGCUUAGUCAGAGGUGAAAGCCCAGGGCUCAACCUUGGAAUUGCCUUUGAUACUGGCUGUCUUGAGUUUGGGAGAGGUGAGUGGAACUCCGAGUGUAGAGGUGAAAUUCGUAGAUAUUCGGAAGAACACCAGUGGCGAAGGCGACUCACUGGCCCAAUACUGACGCUGAGGCGCGAAAGCGUGGGGAGCAAACAGGAUUAGAAACCCUAGUAGUCC